RNAcentral lists this long non-coding RNA (321 nucleotides) under Homarus americanus (American lobster). RNAcentral's name for it is "uncharacterized LOC121859616, transcript variant X2". Lineage: Eukaryota; Metazoa; Arthropoda; Malacostraca; Decapoda; Nephropidae. The record is from RNAcentral.
CAUCCUCUCGCAGAGUGGAGGUUAUAAAUACUUUUCAGAAAUAUGCCCAAAGACUUUUAUGAGCAAUGUGUCGGAAAAAUAUCAGAAACGCCGAAAUCCAUGAGAUAUUAUGGAGAGAGACCUGCAUCUCCUGCAGACGCAAUGUCUGUGCACGCCACUCCUACUUACUCUGCCAUGAGUGCCAGUAAAACCAGUGUUCUGGCGGUUCCUGGUGGCUACUAUUGACAGUGUAUGCUGCCCAAUCAUUCUUAUCUCAGGACCAGGCAAGGAAAAUUCGUUGUACCUCUUAUAUUUUUUUAUUUUUUUGUUAUGAAAAUAAGU